Molecule: ribosomal RNA, 588 nt
Filed under: uncultured bacterium
Lineage: Bacteria
Description: bacterial SSU rRNA
Rfam family: Bacterial small subunit ribosomal RNA
Source: RNAcentral
GGCGUGCCUAAUGCAUGCAAGUCGAACGGGAUCUUCUUUGGAAGACGACCGUGGCGGACGGGUGAGGAACACGUAGCUAACCUGCCCGGGUGAGGGGGAUAACGGCUGGAAACGGCCGGGAAGACCCCAUAGUCUGGAUCUUAGGGAUGAGAUUCAGGAAACGGAUUUUCGGAUCUGCACCUGGAGGGGGCUGCGGCCGAUUAGUUAGUUGGUGAGGUAAGAGCUCACCAAGGCGAUGAUCGGUAGCUGGUCUGAGAGGAUGAUCAGCCACACGGGGACUGAGACACGGCCCCGACUCCUACGGGAGGCAGCAGCAAGGAAUUUUCCACAAUGGGCGCAAGCCUGAUGGAGCAACGCCGCGUGGGGGAGGAAGCCCUUCGGGGUGUAAACCCCUUUUCUGGGGGACGAAGCCAAUGACGGUACCCCAGGAAGAAGGACCGGCUAACUACGUGCCAGCAGCCGCGGUAAGACGUAGGGUCCGAGCGUUGUCCGGAGUUACUGGGCGUAAAGGGCGCGCAGGCGGUUAGUCGCGUCGGAUGUGAAAGCCCCCCGCUCAACGGGGGAGGGUCAUUCGAAACGGGCUGACUG